This 1234-nucleotide long non-coding RNA is filed under the name Lathyrus oleraceus (garden pea). RNAcentral describes it as "Pisum sativum (pea) long non-coding RNA (PSAT_LNC020642)". Lineage: Eukaryota; Viridiplantae; Streptophyta; Magnoliopsida; Fabales; Fabaceae. The record is from RNAcentral.
CAAUUUCCAAAUUCAAUCCAAACCAAGUUUCAAUACCAAUUCCAAAUCCAUUCUUUUCACAAGUAAAUUGAUUUUCAAAAUACAUUCAAAUGUCUUCCGAUACAAUUCAUAUACAUCCAGAAUUUCCACAUAAAACAAGUUCUAUACUAAUCAAUCCCUAAGUCCCAUCAUGCUCCUUCCAUUUAUCUGUGGGUUAUCCUUUUGCUCCCUAUGUCAAAACCGAACCUGCAAAACAUUUGUCAAAUAUAGCCCAUGAGUUUCACAUACCAAAGUUCAUAACAUGAACAACAAUUUCCAAGCAGCUCAGUCCCAAACUUGCACUACAACAGCCAAUGGAAAAUCAAUCCGUACCGAGAAUCCUCGCAUUAACAAAACAGAUCCUAACAAACUCAAUUCAUCACCAUUAAAUUCACUUAACUAAUCACUAACAAUGCAGCAAUACACUCAGCAAACCAUAGCAUAAUCAAUACAUACCAAUGUUACGACAAUGCACGUAUAAACCAAAUGAUGCAUCGGGUUUUGACAGUAGCAAACCAAGCAAAAAUCCUGCACUAAACUACUCCCUGCAUCGUGCAAACCAUAAUUCACAACAAUUCAUUCUGCAAAAUCCAAAUGGAAAACCAGGAAUUAACAUAGAUUAUAACUAAUAGAACCCUGCACCAUGAAUAACGUUCGCAACAGCAUAAACAAAAAAACUCAGAUCGCAGGAACCCUGUAAAGUCGGGAUUAACAUAACCACUUCUACCCUGCAAAUUCAAUAGCAGAGUCAGAAUCAAAUUCAGCUUACCUCUCUAACUAACAUUCCAUCAAUUAAAAGAUUAAUCUAACACAGUUAACAAAUACCAACUAUUUGCAAUUAACAUUUUAACAGAUUUCAACUAACUCAAACUGACUAUAAAAGAAUCACUUAACAGGGUGAUAACGGAAUCAUUUUCCUAACUAAUUUACACUGAGCAAGUUAACAACAUCUAACUCUGUUAAUAUUCAGCUCUCUAUAAAUUCACCAAGCAUCUUAUUCAAUAAGGUUGAACGUUGACGCGGAUGUUGGAACUCUGGAUCAGUGAAGAUGACCAGGAGUUCAAAUCGAUUAAGAUUUUGAUCCGAAUUUGUUUUUGCUCAUGCUCACGUUUGGAAUGGUGUGAUUAUGGGUUGAUAAAAGCAGGAAAUGCAGAUGCUGCUGAGACGGUGGCAUUUCAUGAUUAUGCGUUGGUCCGAAUCCCUUUUUUCAGCCUGU